CACAGUCUUGGCUGAAGCAUGAGUGAAACAGGAACUCCUAUUCACUGAGUGAAAACUGAUAGCCCUUAAAAAUGCAUGGAAUACAGCUUGGCCUAAUGCCCAAUGACCGAGAUUUUUAAAAUCAGCACUUCCCUGAGACCAAACUGAAGCCAAGUAUUACCACAGAAGAAACUUCUGAAAUAAAAGAAAGUGUUCAUUGUCAAAUGGGAACCACGUCACACGGAAUGCUUACCCGGCCAUUCUGAAGCAACCACUGAGCAUCUGAGUACGGUCCUUUCCUGUGAUUCACUGUACAUACAGACAUGUGCAAACAUGUACGCAUAUCUUACUGUGGAUACUCUCUACCUCUUUGUCCUCUCUUUUUUUUCUACCUCUCCUCUUUUCCAGUGUUAACAAGAUACACAAAACUCAUGUCUUACAUAUGGCUUUAUGAAAACAAUCUUAUAUACAUUUUCUUGUAUUUUACCUUUUCGCAUAAGGAACAUAUUGGAAAUCCUCUCAAAAUAUAUUUAGAAAUACUUCCAAGUUACCAGAGAGAUUCAACUCCUACUACUGAAUGCUUCAGAAUAUGACUGCCAUAAUACGCAUAAUACUUCUACUAGUCGGUGUUCCCCUAUUCCCAGGAUUUUGGCACUGCCAACAUUGUGGCAGUCAACGUCCAUGUCGACAUGUUCUUGCUUGCUUACUGAUGAUUUUAGUUCAUGGAGACUGAUGAAAGAAUACAUACAUUUCUAAUACUAACUACUACUGUUUGCUUACCAAACCAAACCAAACCAAACCAAACCAAACCAAACCAAACCAACAAGGAAAGUCAUUUCUCUACUAGCAUUCACGGGGAAAUCUUUCCCCACAUAUCCCUGCUAGCAUGGUUUAGCAUUUAAUUUUUACUAGCCAGAGACAUAGCAUUUCACUGUCACUGUAUCAAUUGGUAGUAAGGUUAUAGUUUUCACAUUUGUUAAGCUAAAUGUUAAAUGUUUAAGCUUUUUCUUCUGUGAACUUCAGGCCACAUCCUUCUCUAUGUAUGGUCCUAACUGGUGGACUUUUUACACUUUAUAAGAUUUUUUACAAAUACUAACCUGUUAGAUAUAUUGCAAGUGUUUUCUUUUAAGCAUUUGUUUCCAUUUCUGCUACAAAAUUCUAUCUAUAGAGUUUCAAAGACUACUUUUUCCUUCCCUUCCCUUCUCUUUCCUAAUUCAGAGGUAUUCCUCUGUGGUUUAGGUUCUAUGUAUAUAUAAAAUUUGACUAAUAUUUUAAAUAUCUAUUUACAUUUAAGUUGUAGACAAAUUGAUUCAGUUAUGUUUACCACAUAAAUGUGCCUCCCCUCCACACUUAGUCUCACUUUGUCAUAAUUGGAAUUUCCUUAUACAUUCACAUACACACAUAUUUACAUAUAUAUUUGAAAUAGGAUCUUAUGUAGCCCAGGUUGACCCUGACAUCAUCUGGGGAUGACAGGCAUGUGCCACCAUACAUGCUUUAAGUGGGUUGAGGACAAUACAGGCAUGUGCCACCAUACAUGCUUUAAGUGGUGCUGAGGACAAACUAGAGCUUAGGGCAUGUUAUGCAAGCACUCAGCACUGUACUUCUAUUUCUUAGAAAAUUUCAUACUUAUGUAUUUAAGCCUAACAGUAUAUAUACAAAUAAAUAAACUACUGUUAUAUGAGUAAGCCAAAGCAUUUUCAUAAGGUGUUAAUGCAAUUUUAAAAUGAAAGAAUUAUUUCAAUGUUUACAUUUAGAUUAGACUUAAUAAACUUUAGCUGGACCUGGUGGCAAAGGCCCAUGAUAUCACUACUUGGGAGGAUGAGGUAAGAAACUAGCAAAGACGAGGUUUCGCUAGGUAUGGAGCAUGUUCAAAGUGAGUCUGGACAACUUAGGGGAACCUUGUCUCAAGAUAUGAAAGAGACCAGAUGUCAGAUGUGGCGGUGUAUGCCUCUAAUUCCACAGCCGAAGCAGGUGGACCUCUGAGAGUUCAAGACCAACCUGGUCUAUGUAGCUAAUUCUUGGACAGCCAUAGCUAAAUAUGGAGACCCUGUCUGAAGAAACAAAAAUUAACCUGAAAAUAGCUACAAUAUACCACGAAUAGCUAAAUGUUAAUGUAAAUGGCUGUCACCACAGCAACUAAGUUUUUAGUGAGCAGGUAAAGAUAAAGAAGUGCUAAUCUAAAGAUAUAACUCCAUAUAUUUAUUCACCAUAUUCCAUAUCUAUUAUAUAUAAUGCUGUAAUUAGGCUUUCCCUUCUCAAUAAGAAAAAGGAAAAUAAAAAGCAUUACUGAUCACAGAUUAUUUACCAAUACACAUAAAAAUGAAUGAAAAUACACUUACUAUAUCCCAGUUACUCUAUAGGGAACUGACUUUAAUACAAAUAUUCAAUUAUUUCUUAAACUAUUUUCCUUAUAGUAUUUUUGUCAUGAUUAACAAAAAAUAUAAACUUGAAAAGCUCUAUUUCAAUUAUUAUUUUAUUUACUCAUACUUCCCAUGCAAAACCACUAAUCCUUGUGAAUCACUAAAGAAGGAAAAAAUUCUUACUCUAGUUCAUGUCCAUACUGUUUCUUAUAUUGAACAAACUUUAAGAGUGGAGAAAUAGUUUCCUAAAAACGAUUCCAUGCAUUAAUGAUCAUAAACAUUGAAAAAAUUAACAUAAAAAACCCAGUGAACUAUAGCUAAAACCAAAAUAAGGGAAUUAUGCUGCUAUUCCUCAGCUCCUACUAAUUACUAAGCAAGUUUGGAGUCUGUCAAAGCCAGAUAUUCUGGCACUAGAGUCUGCAGUCCAGCCACUUGGGAGGCUGAGGCACACUGACUAGCCUUAGUCUGGUGGUUUGAGAACAAUAUGAGUUACAGCAUGGCUAGCUUCAAAGAACAUGCCCAGAAAAGUUCUUUUGGCUCUAUUUUUCCACGAUAGACUCAUUUCAAAUUUUAGUCCAUUCCCUGCAACAGAAACCUUUUGUGCAAAAACGUUUUGUUUUUUGUCACUCUUGUAGGGCACUGUAUAUCUCUCCUAGAAGUUCAGGGUGUAUGACUGAAGCAUGUCGUUCAAUUAGUGAGAACUUCUGUUGGUGGAGUGGCACAUAUCGGUAAUCCAGCACUUAGGAAACAGACAGGAAGAAGACCAUGAUGAAAGCUAGGCUUGACCUCCGUUUAAAAAAAACUUAUAAAGUAUGUACUAACCACUGUAGACUUAUGAUCUACCUUGAUAAUACCUACGGGCUAGAUUUAAACAGAAAGAGACUUCAUUUUAAGUGCCCAAGGUCAGACAGUUAAUGAUAGGGAAGGCUAAAACCUAAUCCCAGGCCUCUGUGAUUGGGAAAUCUAUUCAGGAAAAGUUUGAGUAUACUAAGUUACGCUCACUGCCAUCUAGCUUUCAAACUACUCUCAAAUUGAUUAUCUAGGCUUAUCUCAUUCACAAUACCCUUGGGAGGAAAGUUUCUUAGUAUGGAAGCCUGAGGUUUCCAGCAUCGGCUGCACUUAAGAAGGCACAUGACCAAAAUGGAGGCACUGAAUGAAGAUCCUCUAACAUUAGGGCUGAACCAUAGGUCUUACCAUUAUCAGUAAGCGCGACACGCUGUGGAAACAAGGUGCUUACUGAAUUAAUAAAGUCCACACAGGCUCAUAUCUACUCUAUUUAGGAUUUGGAAACUUGGACUGAGAAGUUAAUACUUAGUGCACAGCCUUUAGGGAACUAUAAUUCGUAACAAUUAAGGCAGUUUAAUUUCCUUUUUAAUCAUUCAACGCUUAUUCAAUAAACGACCCAUCAGGGCCCUCAGUAUUCUGUUUGCUUUAACAGGGCCUCUUCUAUCCACUUCAGCAUCCUUGUGCAGAAGAUAUAACAGAGACAGAUUGUUCUUUAACUGCAGGGAGGUUUACUGAGGAAUACCCCAGCUACCAAAAGUAGCCUAUAUGGAGAAGUAAAGAAAUACAGAAUAUUGGGUAUAUCAGCCUAAAGGACUAAUUGGCUACCGUGGCCCAAAGGAAAGGACACACGUUCACUGGUGACACCCUGCAAAGACAGGGUAAUUAAGGGAGAUUUCAGAGUAAGAAAUAAAGGGCGUUGGGGCCCCAACCCUUAAAUUCUCUCUUUCCCCCUCCUUCCCUGUCUCUCCCUUCCCCCAUAGGCCUUCUCACCUAUGAAACAAGGUCUUACUUUGUUGCCCUGGCUGGCCUAGAACCCACUUUGUAGACCAGGCUGGCCUUCAACUCAAAGAACUCUGCCAGACCCAGUGCAGAGAUUAAAGGAGGGAGCCAUUAUACCCAGACCCACACAGAAAUCUCAUUAAUAUCAGAAAUGCCUUCCAGCGCUCAAACCAUCUGUGUGUAUACAGCAUCAAAUUCUUCUUUAAUAUUUACUCUCCUUAGCUGUUUGGUUGCCAAUUCCAGAUUUGCUAAUCCUCCCGAUUUCAUUAGAAGUCUAAGGUACUGCUUUCUUGAGUUCCCUAAAACUGGAGCAAUUAACUGUGAAAUAAAACUGCAGACUCAUCCAGCCUUUCUUAUGAACUUCUCCUCCACCAGGACUCAGUGCUUUCAAACUGGGUUCCUCCAGCCCAGUACACCUGCACAGAACUGGUUUGGACUUUUAAAACACGAAGGAAUUCUGUUUAUUUGGUGGAAUGUCACAUGGGCAUGAAGCAGUGCCAAUUUUUUUUCUCUCUCACUUUGGAGGAAAAAUGAUGGGUAAAAUUAUAUUUCAGGCUGAGGAGAUGACUCAGUCGUGAAAGCACAUGCUUUGCACAUAUGAAAAUCUGAGUUCAGCCUCCCAGGUGGCCAUGUAAAAGUAAAGUGUGGUACUGUGCCUUUAACCUCGGUGCUCAGGGCAAAAGACAGAAGAAUCCUUGGGGCUGAAUGGCCAGCUAGGCUCCUGAAUCAGUGAGUCAGGUUCAGUGAGAGAACCUAGCUCAAAAAAGGGGGGUUGAGGUGGGGAGAGCAACAAAGGAAGGCACCUCUGGCCUCUACGUGCAGGAACAGACACAAAUAAAAAUGUCAACAAGUGAAUGGUUCAACCAACUGUGGUGCCAUCCAUACCACAGAAUGAUUAGCAAUGCAAAGGAACAAACUAUUUAAGAAUCUAUAUUUAAGCUUGUUAUAGAAACAUACCUAUUGUCUAGUCUGGAUCACAAGCACACAAUGGUAAUUUGGGCAAUGCAAAAUCAUUAAGGCAAUAUUUUAGUAAGAAGUAGCAAAUAGGCCAGUCUUUCUAUCUUGUUAAAUUGUUAUCAGUUUAAGGUUUUGGCUUUUAGCUUUUUAAACAAAAUCUGAUAAGAAAAUUUGGAAGGGGAUAAAAAAGAGCACCAAUCACUGUAAGAUAAUCAUUCCAUCCUUUUCCUAUUUUUUUUUUUCUUUCUAGUAUGAGGACUGGGUGAAGAGCCUCGAGCAUGCAGUGGAAGCAAGAACCAUAUCCCCAAGUCCUCAGCAGAUAUUAAAAAAUAGAUUCCUCAA
This is a non-coding RNA of Rattus norvegicus (Norway rat), 5423 nucleotides long. The record is from RefSeq and is a predicted model, not a curated record. NCBI's taxonomy places the organism in Eukaryota, Metazoa, Chordata, Mammalia, Rodentia, Muridae.